CCUACGGGAGGCAGCAGUGGGGAAUAUUGGGCAAUGGACGCAAGUCUGACCCAGCAACGCCGCGUGAGGGAAGAAGGCUUUCGGGUUGUAAACUUCUUUUAAGGGGGAAGAGCAGGAGACGGUACCCCUUGAAUAAGCCACGGCUAACUACGUGCCAGCAGCCGCGGGAAUACGGAGGUGGCAAGCGUUCUCCGGAUUUACUGGGUGUAAAGGGCGUGCAGCCGGAGAGACAAGUCAGAUGUGAAAUCCACGGGCUCAACCUGUGAACUGCAUUUGAAACUGGUUACCUUGAGUAUGGGAGAGGUCAGCGGAAUUCGUAGUGUAGCGGUGAAAUGCGUAGAUAUUACGAAGAACACCGAUGGCGAAGGCAGAUGACUGGAGCGCAACUGACGGUGAGGCGCGAAAGCGUGGGGAGCGAACAGGAUUAGAUACCCUGGUAGUC
RNAcentral lists this ribosomal RNA (442 nucleotides) under uncultured bacterium. RNAcentral describes it as "partial 16S ribosomal RNA". It matches the Rfam family "Bacterial small subunit ribosomal RNA", at positions 338 to 795 of the family's 1533-position model. The record is from RNAcentral.